GGGUUAGUAGGUUGGUCAUGCCUCUGGUAUGUACUGGUCUCACUGAUUCCUCCUUCCUGAUGAGCCGUAAUGCCAUUAAUUUGGUGUUGCGGGGAAUUUGGACUGUUACUUUGAAAAAAUUAGAGUGUUUAAAGCAAGCUAACGCUUGAAUACAUUAGCAUGGAAUAAUAGAAUAGGACCGUGGUCUUAUUUUGUUGGUUUCUAGGAUUGACGUA
This 215-nucleotide ribosomal RNA is filed under the name Campeiostachys nutans. RNAcentral's name for it is "Elymus nutans partial small subunit ribosomal RNA". The stretch from base 40 to 215 matches the Rfam family "Eukaryotic small subunit ribosomal RNA", at positions 686 to 864 of the family's 1831-position model. Lineage: Eukaryota; Viridiplantae; Streptophyta; Magnoliopsida; Poales; Poaceae. The record is from RNAcentral.